CCUGGGAACUGCGUUNUGAACUGGUAAGCUAGAGUGUNUCAGAGGGGGGUAGAAUUCCACGUGUAGCAGUGAAAUGCGUAGAGAUGUGGAGGAAUACCGAUGGCGAAGGCAGCCCCCUGGGAUANCACUGACGUUCAUGCUCGAAAGCGUGGGUAGCAAACAGGAUUAGAUACCCUGGUAGUCCACGCCCUAAACGAUGUCAAUUAGCUGUUGGGCAACUUGAUUGCUUAGUAGCGUAGCUAACGCGUGAAAUUGACCGCCUGGGGAGUACGGUCGCAAGAUUAAAACUCAAAGGAAUUGACGGGGACCCGCACAAGCGGUGGAUGAUGUGGAUUAAUUCGAUGCAACGCGAAGAACCUUACCUGGUCUUGACAUGUACGGAAUCUCUCAGAGACGGGAGAGUGCCUUCGGGAACCGUAACACAGGUGCUGCAUGGCUGUCGUCAGCUCGUGUCGUGAGAUGUUGGGUUAAGUCCCGCAACGAGCGCAACCCUUGUCAUUAGUUGCCAUCAUUAAGUUGGGCACUCUAAUGAGACUGCCGGUGACAAACCGGAGGAAGGUGGGGAUGACGUCAAGUCCUCAUGGCCCUUAUGACCAGGGCUUCACACGUCAUACAAUGGUCGGUACAGAGGGUCGCCAAGCCGCGAGGUGGAGCCAAUCUCACAAAACCGAUCGUAGUCCGGAUUGCACUCUGCAACUCGAGUGCAUGAAGUCGGAAUCGCUAGUAAUCGCAGGUCAGCAUACUGCGGUGAAUACGUUCCCGGGUCUUGUACACACCGCCCGUCACACCAUGGGAGUGGGGGAUACCAGAAGUAGGUAGGAUAACCGCAAGGAGU
RNAcentral lists this ribosomal RNA (835 nucleotides) under uncultured bacterium. Its description in RNAcentral is "bacterial SSU rRNA". It matches the Rfam family "Bacterial small subunit ribosomal RNA", at positions 613 to 1449 of the family's 1533-position model. The record is from RNAcentral.